This 76-nucleotide transfer RNA is filed under the name Sphaerodactylus townsendi. Its description in RNAcentral is "tRNA-Val". The record is from RNAcentral. Lineage: Eukaryota; Metazoa; Chordata; Lepidosauria; Squamata; Sphaerodactylidae.
GGGGAUAGUCAUGGCUUAGCAGUAGAACAUUUGCUUUACUUUCAGAAGGUCCCAGGUUCUAUCCCUGGCAUCUCCA